RNAcentral lists this ribosomal RNA (264 nucleotides) under uncultured bacterium. RNAcentral describes it as "partial 16S ribosomal RNA". It matches the Rfam family "Bacterial small subunit ribosomal RNA", at positions 793 to 1055 of the family's 1533-position model. The record is from RNAcentral.
GUCCACGCCCUAAACGAUGUCAACUGGUUGUUGGACGGCUUGCUGUUCAGUAACGAAGCUAACGCGUGAAGUUGACCGCCUGGGGAGUACGGCCGCAAGGUUGAACUCAAAGGAAUUGACGGGGACCCGGCACAAGCGGUGGAUGAUGUGGUUUAAUUCGAUGCAACGCGAAAACCUUAACCUACCCUUGACAUGCCAGGAAUCUUGCAGAGAUGUGAGAGUGCUCGAAAGAGAACCUGGACACAGGUGCUGCAUGGCCGUCGU